UACGUAGGUGGCAAGCGUUGUCCGGAUUUACUGGGCGUAAAGAGCGCGCAGGCGGUCGGUCAAGUCGCGUGUGAAAGCCCCCGGCUCAACUGGGGAGGGUCACGCGAUACUGCUCGACUCGAAGGCAGGAGAGGGAAGUGGAAUUCCCGGUGUAGUGGUGAAAUGCGUAGAUAUCGGGAGGAACACCAGUGGCGAAGGCGACUUCCUGGCCUGUUCUUGACGCUGAGGCGCGAAAGCUAGGGUAGCAAACGGG
RNAcentral lists this ribosomal RNA (253 nucleotides) under uncultured bacterium. Its description in RNAcentral is "partial 16S ribosomal RNA". It matches the Rfam family "Bacterial small subunit ribosomal RNA", at positions 524 to 776 of the family's 1533-position model. The record is from RNAcentral.